This 28-nucleotide ribosomal RNA is filed under the name Dujonia oleophila. RNAcentral describes it as "[Candida] oleophila partial 26S ribosomal RNA". Lineage: Eukaryota; Fungi; Ascomycota; Pichiomycetes; Serinales; Debaryomycetaceae. The record is from RNAcentral.
UCAAAAUCAAGGUAGGAACUCCCGCUAC